RNAcentral lists this ribosomal RNA (282 nucleotides) under Lactiplantibacillus plantarum. RNAcentral describes it as "Lactobacillus plantarum partial 16S ribosomal RNA". It matches the Rfam family "Bacterial small subunit ribosomal RNA", at positions 365 to 639 of the family's 1533-position model. Lineage: Bacteria; Bacillati; Bacillota; Bacilli; Lactobacillales; Lactobacillaceae. The record is from RNAcentral.
UCCACAAUGGACGAAAGUCUGAUGGAGCAACGCCGCGUGAGUGAAGAAGGGUUUCGGCUCGUAAAACUCUGUUGUUAAAGAAGAACAUAUCUGAGAGUAACUGUUCAGGUAUUGACGGUAUUUAACCAGAAAGCCACGGCUAACUACGUGCCAGCAGCCGCGGUAAUACGUAGGUGGCAAGCGUUGUCCGGAUUUAUUGGGCGUAAAGCGAGCGCAGGCGGUUUUUUAAGUCUGAUGUGAAAGCCUUCGGCUCAACCGAAGAAGUGCAUCGGAAACUGGGAA